UACGGGGGGAGCAAGCGUUGUUCGGAUUUACUGGGCGUAAAGGGCGCGUAGGCGGCGUGACAAGUCACUUGUGAAAUCUCCGGGCUUAACCCGGAGCGGCCAAGUGAUACUGUCGUGCUAGAGUGCGGAAGGGGCUACUGGAAUUCUCGGUGUAGCGGUGAAAUGCGUAGAUAUCGUAAGGAAGACCAGUGGCGAAGGCGAGUCUCUGGACAGCAACUGACGCUGAGGCACGAAGGCCAGGGGAGCAAACGGG
Molecule: ribosomal RNA, 253 nt
Filed under: uncultured bacterium
Lineage: Bacteria
Description: partial 16S ribosomal RNA
Rfam family: Bacterial small subunit ribosomal RNA
Source: RNAcentral